RNAcentral lists this long non-coding RNA (440 nucleotides) under Rosa chinensis. RNAcentral describes it as "sRNA RchiOBHm_Chr7g0221671". Lineage: Eukaryota; Viridiplantae; Streptophyta; Magnoliopsida; Rosales; Rosaceae. The record is from RNAcentral.
UUCAGUUACAGAAAGCCACCCAUUACUCUUCCAAAGAUCUUUGCUUUCAACUCUUUCCUCAAUCGAAAGCCAGUUUGCUUGGAUCAAGAAGCUUCGACCAGCCAAGAAGGAAGACAUUUGAGACUUGGAUUUUUAUAUGCUCCAUUUAUCUAUCAUUGAAGGUAGACAUAACUCUCCCAGAAACCUUGAUAUUUAGGUUUUGAUGGCAGUUAAUAGCAUCGAUCAGGCUCUGAGAUAGAGAGGUUGGACUGAAAACGAGUUGCUGGGGUGGGAAAGAGAAGAGGAGGGGUUCAAGAUUGUGGUGGACUUAGAGACAAUACACCAGGGCCUUGCCUAUUCCUAAUAAUCAGGGGAUGAAGAAGAGGAUGAAGAGCAGCAAUAUCAUUGUUCAGAUAGCCAAAAGUUUGAGGAGCAAAUUUUGUCUUCUUGGUGCCUCUUUU